This 224-nucleotide unclassified non-coding RNA is filed under the name Hevea brasiliensis (rubber tree). Lineage: Eukaryota; Viridiplantae; Streptophyta; Magnoliopsida; Malpighiales; Euphorbiaceae. The record is from RNAcentral.
UUUAAGUUUAAAGAAGGCAAUGCGCGCCACCUCAUUAAUCUCAAAUUCAAAUCUGCUGCUGAUAUAGCUAACCGAGUUGGGUCCAUGGAUUUUGCAAGGUUAAUAUUUCUAUAGCGUUUCUUCCCUUUGCUCAGUUCCCAUCCAACCACAUUAGGCAUGUAGCUUUGAUCUCUCAACCCUUUGGGAUCAUCAAUCAGGGCUUUACCAACAAGGGAUAAAGUAAG